CCUACGGGUGGCAGCAGUGAGGAAUAUUGGUCAAUGGGCGCUAGCCUGAACCAGCCAAGUAGCGUGAAGGAUGACUGCCCUAUGGUUUGUAACCUUCUUUUAUAUGGGAAUAAAGUGCAGUAUGUAUACUGCUUUGCAUGUACCUUAUGAAUAAGGAUCGGCUAACUCCGUUCCAGCAGCCGCGGUAAUACGGAGGAUCCGAGCGUUGUCCGGAUUGAUUGGGGUUAAAGGGAGCGUAGGCGGGUUGUUAAGUCAGUUGUGAAAGUUUGCGGCUCAACCCUAAAAUUGCAGUUGAUACUGGCAGACUGGAGUGCAGGAGAGGUAGGCGGAAUUCGUGGUGUAGCGGUGAAAUGCGUAGAUA
Molecule: ribosomal RNA, 361 nt
Filed under: uncultured bacterium
Lineage: Bacteria
Description: partial 16S ribosomal RNA
Rfam family: Bacterial small subunit ribosomal RNA
Source: RNAcentral